GCUGCGGUGGGGCCACAUGGCAGAGAGGGAGGAGGGGCAGGAUCAGGACUCCCCUCCUGGGCCGGGAAGGCUCCGCACCCCGGCAAGUCCCGCGGUCCCAGCCCUGCCCGCCUCGCCCCUGGGGAGACUCACUGUGGUUCAGGGGGUGCCCGCUGGUCUCCGCCGACGCCACCAGCUCCAGGCCUUGAAGUUAGGAGCAAUCUGCUUUGGCGCUCUAGAAGUUUCCUGUAACCGAUUUCCCUACCUGGUGUGAGAGAGACACUUUACAAAAGAAUAACUUUUCUAUAACUGAAGCUCUGAACAAAGGACUGAAUGACCCAUCCAAGCUGUGGAUGUGUUCCAGAGUGACUUUCAAGCCAGCCAACUCACCAACACUGCUAAGAACCUGAUACAACAUGGACUUUGUAGUCUGAUCCUACGUGUGAGACUUUGCCCAGCAGGGAAUAUUGUAGGUGUGCUGGCUGGCCUGAAGAAAAAGGAAAGGAAGAGCUUGCAGCUACUGCACCACAGCAUCUUCCAGCAGGAGUCACUGCAGAAAAUAUUCUAGCACUGGCUUUGGGGAGCUCAUGGUGACUGCACCCUUUUUACACAUCCAGCACUAUCGUGAUAUUUAGCCACCCUCCAGGUACUUGUCUUCUUGGCUGGUAUGGAAAGUCAC
Long non-coding RNA from Malaclemys terrapin pileata, 658 nucleotides. RefSeq lists it as uncharacterized. The record is from RefSeq and is a predicted model, not a curated record. Lineage: Eukaryota; Metazoa; Chordata; Testudines; Emydidae. The transcript has 4 exons.